UGGGGAAUAUUGCACAAUGGGCGCAAGCCUGAUGCAGCCAUGCCGCGUGUGUGAAGAAGGCCUUCGGGUUGUAAAGCACUUUCAGCGGGGAGGAAGGCGAUAAGGUUAAUAACCUUGUCGAUUGACGUUACCCGCAGAAGAAGCACCGGCUAACUCCGUGCCAGCAGCCGCGGUAAUACGGAGGGUGCAAGCGUUAAUCGGAAUUACUGGGCGUAAAGCGCACGCAGGCGGUCUGUCAAGUCGGAUGUGAAAUCCCCGGGCUCAACCUGGGGACUGCAUUCGAAACUGGCAGGCUAGAGUCUUGUAGAGGGGGGUAGGAUUCCAGGUGUAGCGGUGAAAUGCGUAGAGAUCUGGAGGAAUACCGGUGGCGAAGGCGGCCCCCUGGACAAAGACUGACGCUCAGGUGCGAAAGCGUGGGGAGCAAACAGG
Molecule: ribosomal RNA, 429 nt
Filed under: Chloroflexota bacterium
Lineage: Bacteria; Bacillati; Chloroflexota
Description: Chloroflexi bacterium partial 16S ribosomal RNA
Rfam family: Bacterial small subunit ribosomal RNA
Source: RNAcentral